AGUGAACGCUGGCGGUAGGCCUAACACAUGCAAGUCGAACGGCAGCACAGUAAGAGCUUGCUCUUACGGGUGGCGAGUGGCGGACGGGUGAGGAAUACAUCGGAAUCUACUUUUUCGUGGGGGAUAACGUAGGGAAACUUACGCUAAUACCGCAUACGACCUACGGGUGAAAGCAGGGGAUCUUCGGACCUUGCGCGAUUGAAUGAGCCGAUGUCGGAUUAGCUAGUUGGCGGGGUAAAGGCCCACCAAGGCGACGAUCCGUAGCUGGUCUGAGAGGAUGGUCAGCCACACUGGAACUGGAACAGGGUCCAUACUCCUACGGGAGGCAGCAGUGGGGAAUAUUGGACAAUGGGCGCAAGCCUGAUCCAGCCAUACCGCGUGGGAGACGGAGGCCUUCGGGUUGUAAAGCCCUUUUGUUGGGAAAGAAAAGCAGCAGGUUAAUACCCCGCUGUUCUGACGGUACCCAAAGAAUAAGCACCGGCUAACUUCGUG
Molecule: ribosomal RNA, 492 nt
Filed under: uncultured bacterium
Lineage: Bacteria
Description: partial 16S ribosomal RNA
Rfam family: Bacterial small subunit ribosomal RNA
Source: RNAcentral